This is an RNA transcript of Ctenopharyngodon idella (grass carp), 5818 nucleotides long. It is a transcript of the gene named chloride channel 6, with no coding region annotated. The transcript has 23 exons. The record is from RefSeq and is a predicted model, not a curated record. Lineage: Eukaryota; Metazoa; Chordata; Actinopteri; Cypriniformes; Xenocyprididae.
CAGAAAAAAGAAAGUUAAAGUACAGAAAAGAAAAGUCAACCUAUUUAUCCAAUCUGUUCUUUAUUCUUUGAAGUCUUUUGUUUUAUUUUUCCUGAAAUAUUUGUAAUUGCACAUUAACCGGCUCUGAUCAAUUAGCUUGUGUCACUGGUGUCGGACCUAGGUCGUUUUGUACACAUAAAGCUGCGUAACUGGUGCGCGCUUGAAUUAAAAACAGCUUGUCUGCGUUAAAUCUGCGCAGCUGGUGCGCGCUUGAAUAUCUCAACUCUCGUGUGACGGUCAUGUGAUCCGGUGCGCUGUACUAGCGGUGUGUUGCUGAAGAUGGCGUGCUGUGGAGGAUGUUUGUGUUGUCAGUGCUGCUGCAAUGAAGGCGAAACAAGAACACCAGAGGAGCUGACAAUACUGGGUGAAACCAGAGAAGACGAUGAUGAAAUAUUGCCAAGAAAAGACUAUGAGAGUUUGGAUUAUGACCGAUGUAUUAAUGAGCCAUUCUUGGAGGUUUUAGAGGGGUUGGAUAAUAAGAAAGCCAAAAAGUAUGAAGCGAUAAAGUGGAUUUUGGUCUUUGCGAUUGGAGUAUCAACAGGACUGACUGGCCUGUUUGUGGAUUUCUUUGUGUGGCUCUUCACUCAGCUGAAGUUCAGCUUGGUUGGACAAUCUGUGGAGGAAUGCAGUGAGAAUGGCUGUUUAGCUCUCUCAUUACUGGAGCUGCUGGCUCUCAAUAUGAUGUUCAUAUUCAUCUCCAGUGUUCUGGUGCUCAUUGAGCCUGUUGCAGCUGGGUCUGGUAUCCCAGAAAUUAAAAGUUACCUUAACGGAGUAAAGAUUCCAGGAAUUGUGCGGCUGCGGACCUUCAUUUGUAAGGUCACUGGGGUCCUGUUUGCUGUUGCUGGAGGAUUGUUUGUGGGUAAAGAGGGACCAAUGAUCCACAGUGGAGCGAUAGUAGGGGCAGGACUUCCUCAGUUUCAGAGCAUCACCUUCAAGAAGAUCCGCUUUCACUUCCCCUAUUUCCGCAGUGACAGGGACAAAAGGGAUUUUGUCUCAGCGGGUGCAGCAGCCGGAGUUGCAGCUGCCUUCGGGGCACCCAUAGGGGGCACACUCUUUAGUCUGGAGGAGGGAUCAUCCUUCUGGAACCAGGCUCUCACAUGGAAAGUGUUGUUCUGCUCCAUGUCUGCCACUUUCACACUCAACUUCUUUCGUUCUGGGAUCAACUUCAAUAAAUGGGGAUCAUUCCAGCUCCCUGGCCUGCUCAACUUUGGAGAGUUCAAGUGCACAGAUGGAGAUAAGUCAUGUCAUUUGUGGACAGCAGUAGAUUUGGCGUUUUUUGUAUUAAUGGGGGUGGCAGGAGGUCUGCUCGGCGCGCUGUUCAACUGCAUCAACAAACGGCUCGCAAAAUACCGCAUGAGAAACGUUCAUCCCAAAGCAAGAUUCAUCAGGGUGUUGGAGAGUCUGUUGGUAUGUAUGGUGACUUCAUUAGUGAUCUUCAUGGCUUCAGUGACUCUGGGGGAGUGCCGAGAUUUAGUCUCCACCAUAAAUAACAACUCAUCAACACAGGGGUCUGUAAAUGAGGAGGUGAACUCAACCAUACGACGAUUCUUCUGCUACAACAACACAUAUAAUGACAUGGCGACUCUGUUCUUCAACCCUCAAGAGGUGGCAAUCCACCAGCUCUUCCACCAGAAUGCUACCUUUAGUCCGGUCACCCUCUCGCUGUUCUUCAUGCUGUAUUUUUUUCUGAGCUGUUGGACAUAUGGUGUGUCCGUCCCCAGUGGUCUGUUUGUCCCGUCUCUUCUCUGUGGAGCUUCACUUGGACGCCUGGUGGCCAAUGUCCUCAAAAUUAACUUCCACAUGCAAAUCUAUUCUGGGACCUUUGCCUUGAUUGGAGCAGCUGCCUUCCUAGGAGGUGUGGUUAGAAUGACCAUCAGCCUGACAGUCAUCUUAAUUGAAUCGACCAAUGAGAUCACCUACGGACUUCCUAUUAUGAUAACACUGAUGGUGGCCAAAUGGACAGGAGAUUUCUUUAAUAAGGGAAUAUACGAUAUUCACAUUCACCUGAAAGGAGUUCCGCUGCUGGAGUGGGAAACAGAAGUCGAGAUGGACAAAUUGACAGCCAGUGACAUCAUGGAGCCCAACCUGACAUACGUGUAUCCUCACACCCGUAUUCAGUCUCUGGUCAGCAUCCUGAGGACCACAGUCUAUCACGCCUUCCCCGUUGUCACCGAGAACAGAGAUAAUGAGAAGGAGUUUAUGAAAGGAAAUAUCCUCAUAAGCAACAAUAUCAAAUUCAAGAAAACCAGCGUGUUGACACGUGCGGGGGAGCAGAGACGGAGGUGUCAGUCAAUGAAAUCAUACCCGUCAAGUGAGCUACGCAAUGUGUGUGAUGAGCAGGUUGUUGUGGAGCCGGCGGAGGAAGGGCAGGACAUCCUUCAGCAGAUGCUGGAGAGGAGGUAUGUGCCGUACCCAAACCUUUACCCGGACCAGUCGCCCAGUGAGGAGUGGACCAUGGAGGAGAGGUUCCGCCCGCUCACCUUUCACGGGCUCAUCCUGCGUUCACAGCUCGUCAACUUGCUGAUCCGCGGUGUCUGCUAUGCUGAAAACCAGUCGAGUGCCUCACAGCCACGGCUCUCUCAUUCAGAGAUGACUGAGGACUACCCACGAUUCCCUGACAUCCACGAUCUCGACCUGGCCCUUCUCAACCCACGCAUGAUUGUGGAUGUGACUCCUUACAUGAACCCCAGUCCGUAUACAGUCUCUCCAAACACACGCGUCUCCCAAGUAUUCAAUCUGUUCAGGACCAUGGGGCUUCGACACUUACCUGUAGUCAAUGCAGUGGGAGAGGUAAGUUUAAAACUGAGGGGGCAUUUACACUACGCUGUUUUCAACUAAAAACUGAAAACAUUUAAAAACGAUACUUUUAUCAUCUCCAUAUAAGCUACAAAAACAUGAAUUUGUGAAAAAUAUUAAUGAGUAUUAUGCGUUCAGUCUAUAGUGUAGUGUUUCUUUACAAAGUGACAUCGCCAACUACUGGCAUGGCAUGAAUAUUACAGCGCUUUUAGUUGUUUUCUUGGACCCGUGUGAACGAGGAUCGUUUUUUGACAAUAUUGUUUUUUCAAAAAUGCUAAGGGAAAACUUUUCCGUUUUUAGAUGUUGUCUAAACGUACCCUAAAUAAGCACAAACAUAGAAACACAUCUAAGGAAAAGUGACAAAAUAUGUAGAAGCAACCUUCUGUCUUUUCAGAUUUUUGUGUCUUCAUUAGGGCUGUAAUGGUACACAAACAUGACGAUUCGGUACGUACCUCUGGUUUGGUACAGGUUCGGUACAGCAGGGUAGAGUUCAUUUCUCUAGCGAACUAACAUGAUGUUGUCACUAAAUACCUGAGAUAAAUGUAAUGCUAUGUGAGAUAUUAUUCUCAAGCUGAUUUAUUCAGUUGAAACACUGGUUGAGAGAUUACAUGAAAACAUAUAGAUAGAUCAUCUCUUCUUCUGCGCUUUUUACUGGUAGCAAACAGCGUUGCAUUACUGUGCGCGCCCCCUUCGGGAUUGGAGUGUGGAUCACCUGUGACUGAUUAUAUUCAUCAUGUGACUGUCUGAACCGAACCUUGAAGUCUGUACCGUGCGGUUCGUGAUGAAUACAUGUACCGUUUCACCACUAGACUUCAUUCAUUUGUAGUUUUAAAGGAAUAGUUCACCAAAAAAUAAAAAUUCUAUUACUUAUUGCCCUUUAUGUCAUUCCAAACCUUUCUUUGUAAGGUGGAAUACAAAAAGAGAUACUUUGUACAAUGUUCAUGCUGCUUUUUUCCCAUUCAGUGAAAGUAUAUAGUGACCAGGGGCUGUAAAGCUCCAAAAUGAACAAAAAAAGCAAAAAAUAAAAACAAACCAUAUGACUUAAGGAUUGUGGGAAUAAUCACCAGACAUAAUCUUACCCAUGAGUUUUUAGUUGCUAAACUUCGACAGCAUUACAUCACAAUCUAAGACUCCACUGGCGCCGUCUGCGAUCAAUCAGCCAAACUUGAGUAGUGGCUCGCUUGAGAGGAGAUGAGCCAAACGCUCCAGGGACCUGAGACCAGAUCGCCUCCGGACCUGAACCCCUGCUUCAGGUCGCACCCUUAAGCCAUUCCUAGUUCCUGCGUGGACCACUAGAGUUCGGUAUCUGACCCGUCCAGGCACAAACACACACAAACACCCAUCAUGCUAGCACUAAUGCAGGUGAAGUACAGUUAAUCAACACAUUUCAGGAAAGCAUCCUGAUUUCCUUGUACUGACGAUGUUUGCUGCCUGUGUUUUACCAACCUCACUGUAGCACUUUUAAUUUUGUCUCUUUGAGUUCUGAAUGUUUUAAAUUGUGCUUACCAUUUCUGUAUAUUUAUGAAUGUUUGCUUUUGCACAAAGAGUGAGAUAAACCACUGACCACAGUCCCUGGUCAAAAUCUUUUUACUUAAAGGGUAAAUAUCAUGAAACCAAGAACACGUCUGUGUCAUUAUUCACCCCAGAAUCAAAAGAAAGAUUUGUUUGUUUGUAAAGAAAAUGGAUUUUUUUUUUUUUUUUUUUUUUUUAGUAUUGUGGCAUUGGUAAUGAAGGCUCCAAAUGAAAAAUUCUUAUUACUGUACUGCCAGAGUAAUAUUUAAAUUCUAUUGCCGUCAUUUAUUCUGAUUUCAAUAAAAUAGUUGUAUUGCAAUAAUACAAAUAUUUUACUUUUAAAUAUUUGUUUUAAAAAUGACUGUAUUAAUGUAAAGAGUCAUCAAUAUAUAAACAAUUGGAAUGCAAUUGGUGCAUAGCAGUAAUUCGAAAUUUUGCAAUUAGCGUUAAAAUGUAACAAAAUAUAUUGUUAAAUAAGGUUAAAUAAGGAAAUCAUUGAAAAUGUGGCAUUAAAGAAAUAUUAGAAGACCUCUUGCUAGGAGUCAUCCAUAAAAUAUAUGCAUACAGUUCUGAUUGAUGAUUCAUUAAAUCAUGCCAUUAUUUCUAUAAUGCCUUUUUCUAGUGACACGUUUGCUCUACUUUGAAAUGCAAUUUAAGGUCUUUCAAUUCCAGUCUUUUGGCAUUCAUAAGUGGAAAAUAUUCCAAUUGUAAUUGUGGCAUUAACAAUAUUUUUACAGUUAUUAGCGCAUCUUCAAAUAAUCGUUUUUGCCCAUUCCAUUGAAAUGUCCUGACAUUCUUGACGUUGUUUUGUCAGGGAAGAAAGCGCUCAGGGUGCGUUUGUAAUAAUAAACCAAUCAAACCACCAUAAAGUCACUAAAUUACAGGGAUUUAUGUAAUAUGCUUCUUUUUGUAAUCUAACAUCCACUGUAAUGUACAGUCAUGAUAUCAGUAUGGGGUUUGAUUUCAAGGGACUUUUAAGAGCAGACUAAAUAGUAUUAUAGGAAAUGGUGGCACAUUUGUAUACUACACAUUCCUUCUUUUUUUUUUUCAUUUAUUUGUAAUUUUUUUUUUUGUUUUAAUUUGAUUUAUUUAAGAUGAAUUCCACUGAGGAUAUUUUGUCACAUGCUGCAAAUAAUGUUUUAAUUUAUUCUUUAAAAUGUAAUUUAUCUAUUGCAGUUUUUUAUUAUGAUGUGAAACAAUCAGUUUUAUUUGAUGUCUUUUCAAAUGUAUGUUUUAUAACAUACGGUUUAUUUGAGUUUUCUUUGUUGACUGAAUAUGUGCUGCAGGUAUGGAGAGUUGACUGAACACCAUUCGUCUGUUAUAAGAGCUUCAUAAAGUGACAUGCAAAUGUUAUGUGAAAAUCAUCUGUAAUCUCAAUACUCCAUUGUAGUGUCAUGUACUCUAUCAUUAUGGUUUUUCAGGUGAUGGAUUCAAUGCAGUAUAGUCAAAAUAAAAUGUAUACCCUUGUAAA